RNAcentral lists this long non-coding RNA (1747 nucleotides) under Mytilus galloprovincialis (Mediterranean mussel). The record is from RNAcentral. Lineage: Eukaryota; Metazoa; Mollusca; Bivalvia; Mytilida; Mytilidae.
UUUCACGGUUCAUUGCUCAGUGUUAAGUUUUUGUGUUUUGGUCUAUUUUCUUAAACUAUAAGCAAUAGGUCAACUAUAUUUGUUGUAUGGAAGCAUUGUUAGCUGCUUAUUUCUGCCUGGCAUAUGGUUCAACUGACCUUGACCUCAUUUUCAUGGACCAUGUUAAGUUUAUGUGACAGUCGUAAUAAAAAGCUUUAUAUUUAGGUGUAUCAACAUAAUAUCAAUGAUUAGUAAAGUAGGCGAGACAUUUCAGUGUGUGCACUCUUGUUAAAAUCAAAAGAUGGAGCUUAUUUUUUUAGAAUUGGUGCAAAGUUAUUCCAAAAUGGAAAAAACAGUAAAUUAUGUUAGUAGUGGACAUAAAAUAUUGGGAAGUUGUUAUACUAGCACGCCUUUGAAGUCUAAAGUAUGCCAUUUUUGAUCUAUAAGGAAUAUUUAUAGAUAUACUUUUUGUAGUAUUCAAUAUCUACAUACUUUUAUUUUCUGAAUUUUUUUAAUGUGGCAGUCAGGGAAAUAACAUCACUAUUUUCAUUUAUCUCAUCAGAAAUUGAUAUCAUUAAUAAUUGGAUUAAAAUAAAUCAAAUACUAGUGUUAUUUUCAUGUCAGUCAUUGAAACAAGCACCUGCCAUGAAAGUUUAAAUAAUUUAGGGCAUCAUUUAAACUAGAAACACUUCUGCUGCUAGGCCACCAUGGACAUUUGUUAUUUACUGAAAGUGAGGCUUAGUUUCUAAGAGUAUCAGUGUUACCUUCUGCAUUAAAUUUAAUCAUGCUAAAAUCUGGUGUAUAGAAGGAAAGAUGAAUGUUUAUGUCAGUUCAGAAAUUAUUUUUUUAUCUCCUAUGAUGUUUAUAAAUAAGUUGCAAAACAGGAAGAACUUCAUUUAGUUACAGCGGAUUCCAUUGAGUGUGAAGCCAAAGGUAAUAUCUUUGGUUAGCUUCCUUGUUAGCUGAACCGUGAAGUCAUUGUUAGGUUAGGUAAAUUACCCUACUUUAAGAAUAGACUAGUCUGACAGAAAACCAAUUGUUCUGUCUGUUGGACUAUGCUACUUUGAUAGGAGGGUAGUAUACCUGACCUAAUAAUGACUUCACGGCUCAGCUAACAAGCAAGUAACCAAAGAUAUUACCUUUGCUACACACUUGAUGGAAUCCGCUGUAAAGUUUUACUUGUGAUACAUGUCCAUGUUGAAUAAAUUUGUUGUGUAUUUCUUGAUUCUGCCCAACAAUAUUUAAAGUGAUUUGUGCCAUUAUUUUUUUCAACAAUUCCUAAAAUUUUGAAAUUUAAUUCAUUAUUUAAAUUUAGAAUGGCCAAAAAAACAUAUAUUUUUCUCUUCAUUGCACUUGAAAUUAUUUUAAAGCACAUUUUAAAAUAUUCUAUAAAUUCAGUCAGAGGUUCCUGAUGAUGUUGAAAGCACAAAAUGUAAUUGUAUCUUGACAAUAUGUAACCACCAUUUUAACAUCUUUGUUCUAAUAACCGCAAUAAGUCAAUUCCAAUUGAACAGAAAAACAGUGAAACAAAAAAAAACUAAGAACCAAAAUACUUUAAAAAUCUUUUCUUUUGAAAAUGUCAUUAUAUUUUUUCCAGUCUCAGGAGUAAUAGUAGAUAUUAAGAACAAAAGUUAUUCUAUGUUUAUGUUUGCUAGUGCUAUAAUGUCUGGUGCAGGAUAUAUGUAUAUGAUGUUGCUAUGUUGUAUUUGUUAUCCUAUUGUUGUAAUAAAAUCUAAAAAUCUAAAGAAAAUAAAAGGAUAGAAAUUUA